This 484-nucleotide ribosomal RNA is filed under the name uncultured bacterium. RNAcentral describes it as "partial 16S ribosomal RNA". It matches the Rfam family "Bacterial small subunit ribosomal RNA", at positions 30 to 507 of the family's 1533-position model. The record is from RNAcentral.
AUUGAACGCUGGCGGCAGGCCUAACACAUGCCAGUCGAGCGGAUGAAGGGAGCUUGCUCCUGGAUUCAGCGGCGGACGGGUGAGUAAUGCCUAGAAAUCUGCCUGGUAGUGGGGGAUAACGUCCGGAAACGGGCGCUAAUACCGCAUACGUCCUGAGGGAGAAAGUGGGGGAUCUUCGGACCUCACGCUAUCAGAUGAGCCUAGGUCGGAUUAGCUAGUUGGUGGGGUAAAGGCCUACCAAGGCGACGAUCCGUAACUGGUCUGAGAGGAUGAUCAGUCACACUGGAACUGAGACACGGUCCAGACUCCUACGGGAGGCAGCAGUGGGGAAUAUUGGACAAUGGGCGAAAGCCUGAUCCAGCCAUGCCGCGUGUGUGAAGAAGGUCUUCGGAUUGUAAAGCACUUUAAGUUGGGAGGAAGGGCAGUAAGUUAAUACCUUGCUGUUUUGACGUUACCAACAGAAUAAGCACCGGCUAACUUCGUG